CUCGGAGCAAUUUGAAGUCUGAUCUGAAUAGCUCUUAUGCGGAUCUGAGAUUCGAAAUUUCGAACAUGAUGAUUUGUUCAAAUUGUUAUAAUUUAUCGGGUUUAUUAAUAUCAGAUCUUAGAGAAAAAGAAGGGAAAGAAAAAACCCUAAUUUAAUCUGGUCAAUUGGGUUUUUUUUUUUGUUAAAUUCAUUUCUAAUUUACUGAGGAUUUUUGGAAGUAGAUUUAUCUCCAAAUUUUUUUUUGGAGGUGUUGACGAAGGUGGAUCUAAUUUGUUUGAGAGAAGGAAUAAUAACGUUAAAGAAGAAACCCCGGACCCGAUGGGUAAAGAUGAUGAGAAUUUGAAGGCGGAGGAUGUGGAGGAGGGAGAAAUUUCCUAUACGGCAUCAGUGGAAGAGAUCAGUGAGGAAGAUUUUAAUAAGCACGAGGUUAAGGUUGUAAAAGAAUCGAAACCUAUAGAUGGUAGGUUUUGGACGAUGAGAGAUCUGUACAAGUAUCAUCAGAUGGGAGGAAGAUACGUCUCCGGCUUGUAUAAUCUUGCUUGGGCACAGGCAGUACAGAAUAAGCCUCUAAAUGAGCUAUUUGUUGAGGUUGAACCCGAUGAGAAUUCCAAGCGAUCGUCGCCGUCGUCGUCUGUGGCGUCUGUUAAUAGCAAUAAUAACAGCGGUAAAGAAGACGAGAAGAAUAAAGUGGAUAAAUUUGUGAUUGAUGAUAGCGGUGAUGAAAUGGAUGAUAAGAUUGUGGAUGUUGAGAAGGAGGAAGGUGAAUUGGAGGAGGGUGAGAUUGAUUUGGAUUUUGACCCAGGUGAGAAAGCUGCUGGGGAGGGUAAAGAAGGGCUGUCCAAUAGUGAUGAAAUGAAUGUUGAUGGCUUACAGAUUGAGUCCAAGGAGAAGAAUUUGGAGAAGGAAAUCAACUCCAUUCGUGAGGCUCUGGAGAGUGUAACAGUGAUUGAAGCACACAAAUCAUUUAAGGCAACUUGCUCAAAACUGCGCAACACAUUGGAGAGCUUGCGGGAUGUGGUUCCCGAAUUUAAUAUUCCCACAAAAGAUGAUCUUAUGCAAUUGUCAUUCACUGCUGUUCGAACUGUUAAUUCGGUUUUUUGCUCCAUGAACCAUAAAUUAAGGGAACAAAAUAAGGGCGACUUUUCAAGGUUUCUGUCCCUUGUAAAUAGCUAUGUCCCUCCUCUUUUCUCCCCUGAGCAGGUCAAAGAGAUUGAGGUCUUGGUUUGCUCUCUAGAUACUCCUGGUGUUUUGUUGAGUUCAAUAUCUGGUGAAAAAGAGAAAGAGACACUGAUCUCUAGUGAGGUGAAUAAGAAGGAUGAUGAUGUCUCAGCUAAAAGUUCAGUUCAUAAUUUGAUUACAACAAAUAAGUUUCCUUCAUCUGCGGACUCUUUUGUUAAUAAUAAGCCAAACAUAUCAUUAGAAGCUCCAAAAACAGGAAUUUCUACUUUUAAGAGUAGAACAGUUUUGCUCCCAUUGUUAGACCUCCACAGAGAUCAUGAUGCAGAUAGCCUUCCAUCACCUACACGGGAAGUAGCACCACCAUUACCUGUACAAAGAGUUUUAACACCUAAGGUGGUGCUUGACAUUGAAGAUUCUAGAAUGCGUCCAUAUGAAACUGAUGCACUCAAAGCUGUUUCUAGCUACCAGCAAAAAUUUAGCCAUAGUUCAUUUGCAGUGAACGAUAGGCUUCCAAGCCCAACUCCUUCAGAGGAAUCUGGUGAUGGGGAUACUGAUACAGGUGGAGAAGUUUCUAGUUCAUCGGCUGUUGGUCACUUUAGACCUGUGAAUCCACUUAUUUUAGGGCAUACAAUUGCUUCUGCUGAUCCUCCUUGCACUGAGAGUUCUAGUAUGCAGGGAGUUAUCCCUGCUAAAAGUGCUGCAUCAGUGAGUUCUGGGCCUGCUUUAACUGUGAAAGCCUCUGCAAAGAGCAGGGACCCUAGGCUUCGAUUUGUUAAUUCUGAUGCCAAUGUUUUGGACCAAAACCACUGUGUUGUGCCAAUGGUGAAUAAUGCACUUAAAGUGGAACCUUUUGAAGGAACUAGGAAUUUAAAAAGGCAGAAGUCUGAUGAUGAUGCUAUUCCAGAUGUUCCUUCUUUAAAAAGGCAAAGGAAUGCAUUGGAAAAUCCUGGAGUUGUUAGGGAUGUGAAAACCAUGAUUGGAAGUGGCGGUUGGUUGGAGGAUACUGAUGUGGUUGGACCUCAAACUUUGAAUAGAAAUCAGUUGGUAGAGAAUGCAGACAAGGAUGUAAAUUGAUAUUCGAUACACCCAAGAACAUAGCUGCAACAUGCACAGAAUUGUGUCACUGGCAUACAUUUUUCCAUAGUAGGGUAUUUGGGUGUUUCCUGUGACAUACCACCAUAUUCGGUAGGCACUCUCUGCAGCAAAGCAGGGGAGGACAAAAAUGCAGAGCAGCUUCAUUGAUCUCUGCAAGUGGGGUUACCAAUUGCACAUAAAUCAAGGCUCAUACAAUUAAUAAUCAUCGAUUUCAUGUGCCAAAUUCAAGCCGAAGGUUUCUAUAAGAUAAUGAAUAUGAUUGCAAACAUUAGAAUUGAUCACAAUAUUUCCAGAUCUGGUAGAGAAGCCCUUGAAGUAAGGGUAAAUAAGGUAUAGAGGUUAAGUGACUAUGCAAGCGACUUAACUGAGGUAAGGGUAAUUACUAAUUCUCAAACUAUUACUAUUUUUCUUUCUAUACCUUUAAAUUUACCAGAUUCUUUCAUAGUACAUUACCAUUGCUUACCUUUUUCAUUAAUUCACCCAUUAAUCCUCCUACACUUCUCCCUCUUUGCUUCUUAUCCGUCAACUACUUACCCUAUCCAAACAAAAAAGUAUCAAUUCUUGCAUGAAAAAGUUUGAUUUACAUUGAUUUGUUUCUUUAUGAGAAUCAUGUCGCAUGAGUAGAUUUCAAGCAAAAAAGAAAAGAAGUUGGAAAACGAAGCAUACCUGGAGCUGUUGUUUAUAUUCUCUCCGAAUUCUCUCACUUUGAUCAUCUAAUUUGUCCAAGAAGAGGAAUCUUCUUACACCAUACUUGCGAGACCAAGAAGAUAGACUCAAAAAUGAAAUUAUAGCAAAUACCGAAAGAGAUAACUGCACCACUGCAUCGUAAGGUCAUUGGUGGUUUGAAUCGCAAUUUGAGCACAAAAAAGCGAAGUGAGACACGAUAGGAACGCCAAUUGCCAGGAGCAAGAAGAUGGACCACGAGAGAGCAGUGGUCCAAAUAUUAGAUUGAUCUUGGAAUACCCAUUUGAGGCAUAGUCUAAAGCUUUUCAAUUCAAUCCCUUCAUCGAUGAAAUACCAUAAAUUUGCUUUGUUAUUGGAAGUGAAAGGCUCUCCUUCAUUUUCCAUAGCUUUGGGAACUUUGCCCAACUUAGAAUCUGAGUGCAAGGCCAAGAAGAAUGCCCAUAAACAAAGAAACUUGGGAGCAUGAAUGUGCUGCGAGGGGAACGAUCAUUAAAGAGAAAGGUUUCA
RNAcentral lists this unclassified non-coding RNA (3465 nucleotides) under Hevea brasiliensis (rubber tree). The record is from RNAcentral. Lineage: Eukaryota; Viridiplantae; Streptophyta; Magnoliopsida; Malpighiales; Euphorbiaceae.